MicroRNA precursor from Gallus gallus (chicken), 69 nucleotides. The record is from Ensembl. NCBI's taxonomy places the organism in Eukaryota, Metazoa, Chordata, Aves, Galliformes, Phasianidae.
UGCAACAUGCAGCUUAUAACUAUCCUACUAGAGAUAAGGAUAAAGUAUGAUAUAGUUAGAGCUGCUGCA